Boleophthalmus pectinirostris (great blue-spotted mudskipper) is the source of this 390-nucleotide long non-coding RNA. RefSeq lists it as uncharacterized. The record is from RefSeq and is a predicted model, not a curated record. The transcript is spliced from 3 exons. Lineage: Eukaryota; Metazoa; Chordata; Actinopteri; Gobiiformes; Gobiidae.
AGACACAAAGCACAAACACAAAAUCAUCAACAUCCAGGAGCUGUAAUAUUAUCCUUGUCGAGAAAAUGAAGGCGAUUGUGGUUCUGCUGGUGGUCGUACUGCUCACUCAAACUGAGGCUUUGAGAUGCAACUGUGGAGGGAGGAAAACCUGUGCUUGGGAAACUUGUUCUGGACCUGAAACGAAAUGUGGCACUAAAGUAAGCCUGGUGUCGCGACAGUAUUACAUUAAAGGCUGCAUGACUGACAGUGAGUGCAGUAGGAUGGUUCAAGCACCGAUAAUCACAACUUGCUGCUCCACUGACUUUUGCAACUGACAUCUGUGGAUCUGAUUAUGUAUUACUUUGUGUGAUUUAUAUGUGAAGAAAUUAUCAGUAAAAAUCCCAUAUGCAA